AUGAACGCUGGCGGCGUGCCUAAUACAUGCAAGUCGAGCGAACAGACGAGGAGCUUGCUCCUCUGACGUUAGCGGCGGACGGGUGAGUAACACGUGGAUAACCUACCUAUAAGACUGGGAUAACUUCGGGAAACCGGAGCUAAUACCGGAUAAUAUAUUGAACCGCAUGGUUCAAUAGUGAAAGACGGUUUUGCUGUCACUUAUAGAUGGAUCCGCGCCGCAUUAGCUAGUUGGUAAGGUAACGGCUUACCAAGGCAACGAUGCGUAGCCGACCUGAGAGGGUGUUCGGCCACACUGGAACUGAGACACGGUCCAGACUCCUACGGGAGGCAGCAGUAGGGAAUCUUCCGCAAUGGGCGAAAGCUUGACGGAGCAACGCCGCGUGAGUGAUGAAGGUCUUCGGAUCGUAAAACUCUGUUAUUAGGGAAGAACAAAUGUGUAAGUAACUAUGCACGUCUUGACGGUACCUAAUCAGAAAGCCACGGCUAACUACGUG
Molecule: ribosomal RNA, 496 nt
Filed under: uncultured bacterium
Lineage: Bacteria
Description: partial 16S ribosomal RNA
Rfam family: Bacterial small subunit ribosomal RNA
Source: RNAcentral